Molecule: ribosomal RNA, 750 nt
Filed under: uncultured bacterium
Lineage: Bacteria
Description: bacterial SSU rRNA
Rfam family: Bacterial small subunit ribosomal RNA
Source: RNAcentral
AGAGUUUGAUCCUGGCUCAGAUUGAACGCUGGCGGCAUGCUUUACACAUGCAAGUCGAACGGCAGCACGGGGGCAACCCUGGUGGCGAGUGGCGAACGGGUGAGUAAUAUAUCGGAACGUACCCGGAAAUGGGGGAUAACGUAGCGAAAGUUGCGCUAAUGCCGCAUAUGCCCUAAGGGGGAAAGCGGGGGAUUCGCAAGAACCUCGCGUUUUCGGAGCGGCCGAUAUCGGAUUAGCUAGUAGGUGAGGUAAAGGCUCACCUAGGCGACGAUCCGUAGCUGGUCUGAGAGGACGACCAGCCACACUGGAACUGAGACACGGUCCAGACUCCUACGGGAGGCAGCAGUGGGGAAUUUUGGACAAUGGGCGCAAGCCUGAUCCAGCCAUGCCGCGUGAGUGAAGAAGGCCUUCGGGUUGUAAAGCUCUUUCAGCCGGAAAGAAAACGCACGGGUUAAUACCCUGUGUGGAUGACGGUACCGGAAGAAGAAGCACCGGCUAACUACGUGCCAGCAGCCGCGGUAAUACGUAGGGUGCGAGCGUUAAUCGGAAUUACUGGGCGUAAAGCGUGCGCAGGCGGUUUUGUAAGACAGAUGUGAAAUCCCCGGGCUUAACCUGGGAACUGCAUUUGUAACUGCAAGGCUAGAGUACGGCAGAGGGGGGUAGAAUUCCACGUGUAGCAGUGAAAUGCGUAAAUAUGUGGAGGAAUACCGAUGGCGAAGGCAGCCCCUGGGUCGAUACUGACGCUCAUGC